GAUUUUUUAUAUACUGAUAAUACAUGAGCUGUUAUUUUCUUAAGUGAAGUAAUUGAAAAAAAAUCUGUAUUUGACAGAUUGUGAUAAUGCUGAUUAAAAAUUUAUACAUCUUUUGUGUCUGACAGUAGUCAUAAUAUAGAAUUUACUGGGGAAAAAUACAAUAGGAAGUGUAAAUUUUGAGACAUCAGUGGUCGAGUUUAAGGUGGCACAUAACACUAUAGGGAAACAACUGUAAAAAUUAGCUGGAUGUUUUAAUCACAUUCUAUUGAUAAGGAAAUAUUAAGAUUCUCAUUUAUCAAAAAUAGUGUUUGUCAAAAUGCUAUAUAUCCAAUGAAAAUUUUCCGAUAAAGUGUGUGGUUCAAGUUUUUUGAAAUUUUUAUAUUUUUGUCAAAAGGUCAAAGUAAAUAUGUGGAUUAGAUACAUGUUAAUCAGGUUUUGUAACUCAAUUAUUUUUGUCGAACCUGCAAUGUCUGUCAUCAAUUGUUAAAUUAGCUACAAGGUUUCACUAGUUAGACAUAUCCAUGAUCAACCAGUUAUACUUUUUCUACAGAAUACCUAAAUGAUUGAAGGUUGUUUUUGUUAUUUGUCAACAUGUACAUAAAAUCAUCAAGACCUACUGGAAGAGAACUUUACAAAGAGGAGAAAUUUUCAAAAGCCAAUGAUAAUAAAUAAUCUGACUUAAAGAUUUUAUAUUAAACCAAAAUCAAAAUAUUAAUAAAGACCAGGUUUUAAAAAUGUUUCAGAAAGACUAAAUGUGUUUGUGUAUGUUUUUGAAUGAAUACCUAUUUUUAUAAAUAAGUUGUGACUGCUCUUCUCCUGGCAGCUUCCUUAAAAUGAAAUAUAUCGGCUUAUGUUUUGAAUUCAGUCAAUGCUUGUUUAGUUUAAACUGGACAUUUUUUAUGUUCUAACAUUUAGGAUACUUUUAUUGACAAUGAUACAUUUUAUGUUAGCUUUGUGAAAAAACCAGAUACAAAAUUGAUUAUUAAAAGGAAAUUUGAUUUUGUACUCAUAUGAAUAGCAGUGUGAAAGAUGGGUUGGGAUUAACUAAUUUUAGAGUCAAGAUUUGAGUGAUAGGAGAACAAUAGAUUUAAAGCUUUUGGUUGAUUUGAAAGUGUGCAAUGUUGUUUAAAAAGCAACUCUACUUCAUUUGAAAAGAAAAUGCAUGUUUACUGUCAUUUGUCUAUUUAUAUGUUUAAUUGAUUUUUACUUUUCAUGUACGUGUGCAAUGCUUAUUUUUACUUUUUUCAUUUUUUAUGCUCCAAUUAGGGGCAUUAUGUUAUAUGGUCUGUGCUUCUGUUUGUUCGUCUGUUUGUUAGUCCGUACGUUUGUCAGUCCAUCCGUCUGUCCCACUUCAGGUUAAAGAUUUUGGUCAAGGUAGUUUUUGAUGAAGUUGAAGUCCAAUCAACUGGAAACUUACACAUGUACCCUAUGAUAUGAUCCUUCAAAUUUAAUGACAAAUUAGAGUUUUGACCCCAAUAUCACGGUCCACUGAACAUAGACAAUGCUAGUGCCCCCUUCAGGUUAAAGUUUUUUGUCAAGAUAGUUUUUGAUGAAGUUGAAACUUAGUACACAUGUUUUCUAUGAUAUGAUCUAUCUAAUUUUAAUGCCAAAUUAGAGUUUUGACACAAAUUUCACAGUCCACUGAACAUAGUAAAUGAUAGUGCAAGUGGGGCAUCUGUGUACUAUGGACACGUUCUUGUUUCAUAUGCCAUCCAUUGAUUAUUAUUAACUCACAUGACCCAUAGGGCUAUGCAAGCCUUUGCUAUCUCAUAGCCUUUGUAGCUGUUUAUAAAAUUUUCACAGUAUCAUCUUCUCUGAAAUACUUAUAAAAGUAAUGCAUUUGGUAGGCAAACACUGUAGCAUUAAAUCAUAUUAAAUUAUUUCGAGAAUCCAUUUUAUUUUCAACUCUUAAACUGCUGGAAAUUUUGUUUUCACUAUGUAUGGUAGGUCUCUUACAAAUAAUCCUUGAUUAGUUCAGAUUAGAUAAAAAGAAAUAGCUACCAAAGGCAAUCUUUGAUUCUUAUGAAGCACUUUAAAUCAUAUUCUUCCAUGAACAGACAAGUUGAAGUGUUUUCAAACUUCAGGGUAUUGUUUUUUUGCAGAACAUCAUUAAAAAUCUAUAAGGUGUGACAUAUAAUACUGAUUUUAAAACUAAUGAAAAUUUCUUUUUAUUUUGUUGUCUAAAUUAUUUUAUUUGGGGCAGGAAAAAUGAAAUGAAAAAUUGUCUUUCAAUAAUCUUCAUUUGGUUCAAUUUGGAAAAAAAACCUGUCAAUUGAAUGUCUUGCGAACAAAUUUUACUUGAUAUUUUGAUACAUAUUUUGAAAGUUGCCUGAUUACACCCUUUCCUUUGAAAAUAUUGAUAUGCACUGACUUUUACAAAACAUCUCAAAUGCAUAAAUAAAACUAUUGACCAAAAAGACCAAAUACAAAUUUAUCUUUUAUAGUUGUUAUAUCUUACUGAACCAGAUGUUGUUGUUUAUUAGUAUUUGUUAUCCUCUUUUUCAAUUUGUUGCCUUUAUUAUACGUCUGUGAUACCAUUUUAUUUCAGCACAGUAUUAAUCAUUAAGUAUUAUGUACAUUACACUUAUUAGCAGAUGUUAUGGGUGAUAUGAUUUUGAAAAUUUAUAAUUCAUUUAUUCUAUUUUUUUAUAUCAUUUUAAAUAAACUGUUGGAAUGGAGUUUUGUAUUUUACGAGUUCCCUUAUUAUGAAGGUGAAGGAGAAAAGAUUUUUCUACUAUGUCUGUCAGGCUAUGAAUUUGUUAAUCCAUCAGACUUUCAGCCAAUCAAUCAGUCUAAUGGGGAAAAAAAUUUGGUAGUUCAAUUAUACAAUGGAGGACCAUUUGAUAGUCUGGGAGGUGCAAUCAGUUUAUUAGUGAUUUGACUUAAUUUUCGUCUGUUAUUACACAUGCUUAUUUGUUUUGUCUUUGGCAAAGUUAAACAUUUCAGCUCUUAUCAGACUAGACAUGCAUUUUCAAAAUCUUGCUACUCCUCUCCCUCCCAAGCCC
This 3005-nucleotide long non-coding RNA is filed under the name Mytilus galloprovincialis (Mediterranean mussel). The record is from RNAcentral. Lineage: Eukaryota; Metazoa; Mollusca; Bivalvia; Mytilida; Mytilidae.